AAAGAUGGAUGUAACCUAGAACAUGACAGAUCUUGUAUAACAGAAAGUCAAGAUUCUUGAUUUAGGCUCCCAAAGAAAGGAAGAAAAAAUCCAAGGCAAAGAAGUAGACGGGCUCUGGAUUACAUCCUGACAUGACCUACUCAUGGAGGUACACACAGCCUUCAGCCGUAGGAGGCUGCCACCAACGGUGCCUGCAGUACCAAAGAUACUGCCAUAAAGAGUGGGAGACAACGGACAUUGGUACCAGCUGGAUCAUCAAACCACCUCUGAGGUUCAGAAGAUAGUUCACAGACCCACUUCAAAAACACACAAAAGGUGUUAAAUGGCAGCCUGCAAGGAAGUAAAGAAGAAAGCUGGGGAAGAAGUUCAUCAGAAGCCGGAGAAGGGAGGGAUCUGCUGCGGC
This is a long non-coding RNA of Arvicola amphibius (Eurasian water vole), 403 nucleotides long. RefSeq lists it as uncharacterized. The transcript has 3 exons. Lineage: Eukaryota; Metazoa; Chordata; Mammalia; Rodentia; Cricetidae. The record is from RefSeq and is a predicted model, not a curated record.